GUCAGGAGUGGUUAAGAAAGGGCCCUGCAGAAACUGACAUCUGAGCUGGUUCUCAGGGAGAAAUAGCAGUCACCAGGCAGCCUUUGGGGGAGGGAGAGUGGAGGGAGGGGAAGCCACAAGGCUUUCUUGGAAGCAAAGAAAACAGCAGGUGCAAAAGAGGCAUGAAAUAGUAUCUUGUCCUAUAAACUUGCAGUCAGUGUUACUGACGAGUUGGAUGGGAAAGCAACAACAGGCAGCAAAGAGAUGCCUGGGAUAAUGGGAGUAGGUGCAGCUGGAGGGCUAGGAGCUGGCCAGGGCCCCCUGUGUCACACCAACUCUCAUGCUCAACCUUGAUUCAGCAGGCAGUGGGAGGCCAGGAAGAGGCUUUCAGAAGAGCUAUGAUCAGACUUGCGUUUUGGAGGGAUAUCUCUGGGUGAAAAACAAAACGAAAGAAACUAUGCUGAUAGCGCGUAGCUUUUAUAGUCUGGUUAGAAAUGUCUCUCACCAGUAUUUUUUUAGUCCUCUAAGUCAUAUUUAAGAGCAUUAGCCUGUCUUCUGAUCCUUUGUGACCUAUGCCAAUUGCUAUAUGAUGUCUUUUAUUCCCCCAAACACAAUCAGCAGCACUGACAUGGAGUGGAAGGGGGAGGUUUUAGGCUGCCACCAGCUCCAACCCCUUUUUACUUGCUUCUUCAGCUACCCCAAGUAAUCAUUUCUUCUAAAUAAAGCUAUUGUGCUUGCUCUUCAGGGGCAGCUUCAAGACAAAGUUCUGAGCCCCCUUUCCAGCCAUGAGCAGCUCUAAGUCCCUUCAGCAGAGUAUACAAAUCCGGGAGCAUCCACUGACUAUCAGCAAACGACUCUUAGACUUACAGAUAAUUGUUAGGUUCUUCAAGAAAGCAGAGGUUUCAUAACGUUCUUGUGUAAGGCCCUAAAGGAAACUUCUCAUCAGAACCCCACUAGUCUACAAUGAUUGGGAGAGGCCUCUGCAGGUAGAACCUAUGAAGAAAGUCUCCAUUCUUCAACAAUUAGGACCAUUACUCCUGAAAUUGGCAACAAAUGGUUUGGCCAUUGGCUAUAUCCUCAGCUGAAUUCCACAAGAGUCAUUUCAGCUAUGGAAAGUUCAAUGGCAGGUGUGGUCCGAAGCCAACCAGAGGACGCAGGAGAUUGGAGAAGAGCUCUCCUUCCGUUCAGGCUCACGGCAAAGCACGUUGCCUUCUUUCUUUUGCAAAAUAACCACAGGAUACUUCUCAGAGAGAUGCUACGGAGAUGCUUCAGCCUUGAACACCAUGUUCUAAAGCUCUCCAUUGCUGAAGAAAAGGAUUUCCACUCAAUGAAAUCAUGACGCAGAAGAUUAUGCAGUUUGAGUCUCAAGAUGUAAAAGGUCUGAAGAGACUGCAUAUAGGUAGGAACUAACUGAAAAAUAAGAAGAAGGCCUGUGCUAUGAUAUACGUUGAUACAGUGGCAGUCAGGUUAUUUCUUUUCCUUUGUUCCUUUGUUCCUUUGUGU
This 1482-nucleotide long non-coding RNA is filed under the name Homo sapiens (human). Its description in RNAcentral is "HSALNT0337026". Lineage: Eukaryota; Metazoa; Chordata; Mammalia; Primates; Hominidae. The record is from RNAcentral.